This 5738-nucleotide long non-coding RNA is filed under the name Coffea arabica (coffee). RNAcentral describes it as "long non-coding RNA (CARA_LNC003434)". Lineage: Eukaryota; Viridiplantae; Streptophyta; Magnoliopsida; Gentianales; Rubiaceae. The record is from RNAcentral.
UUUCAUAACAUAUGAUUGCAUUUCGGGUUGGUUUUCCUAGUUUGGAUGGGCUUUUCCGGGGACCUUGAUACUUUCCUUUAGAGAUCUUCGUUGUGCAUCGUGAUGCCAAGUAAAUAACUAAGAUAUACCAGUUCCGGUGGUACAUUUAUUAUUGAAAGGAGCAAUAGAUACAGAAAUUCAUUCUAGCGUGUGAUAAAAUUGAGUUUAAUUUUCAACCAGACUAUUUCAAAUUCCAUUUCCUUUUUUUUGUUUCCUUUUUGGGCUUUAGCUUUCUGUGUGUGCGUGUUGUGAUGUCAAAUUCGUCCGACUCAACCACAAAUUUAGGUGAAUUCAAACUAAUGAAGCUUACAAGUUCUACAAGAUAAAAUGAUUAUUUUGUGUUUCCAAAAGAACAUUAGCUAGUAACAAAGUUGAGAAUUAGUAUUAGCUUCUUCAAAAUGUAUACAAUGUUGAAUGUUUUCAAGAUUGAAAUUCUUACCCAAAUGAUAUUCCAUGUUUAAAUGCUGUUAGUAUAGAGAACUAAUAUUCAGAUAAUUCGUUUUUGGGCCUUGCUUGAACUGUAACUUCUGGAAAUGGAUAGCACAAAGAAAUAUUUAUUCUGCAAAUAUAACCAAAUAAUCCCAAAUUAACAGAAAGCAGAACGGAGGAUUCUGCAGCUUUCAUCCAUCCACACCACCCAAGCCAAAACUCUAGCGGUAUAACUUUUUGGUUUCUAAAGCUUCUAACGUAUAUUCCAUCUACACUACCAAAGUUGAAGGAAAAGUAAAGAAAGAUACUAAACAAAAGACCAAAAAGAAGAGAGAGAGAGAGGGGGGGAGGGUCAUUUCCGUAUUCUGAAAAUCUGGCAGUAGACUGUAGAAGCUCUUGAUCCAGUCCUGCUCUUCCUCUUAUGGCACCCCCUCGCCUGCCCUGCUUCGGAUUGGAAACUUGGAAUUAGUAAUUGCACAAAAUGACUCUCGUGAGAGCAAUGACCAAACAAGCCACGGUGAAGAAGAAGAAAGAAACAAAGUCCCUAGAUGACCAUUUCCUGACGGCUUUAGAGGAUUCAACCCUCAAACUCUUAGCCCUCCUCAGCGCGUCCACUUCUUUCAACAGGUCAAAUUCAACCCCUUUCUUCUUCAACUCCUCAACGCACUUGGCCAGCAAUUUGCAGUCCUCUUUUUCCCUCUGCAGAAGCUUCUCCAGAUGGCCUUCCACGUCAGUCUUGUACCUGACAGCCCAUAUGAUCCCAAGAGAGCAGAGGAGGGAACACAAAGAUGGGAUCCAAGACCUGCGGCAGAAGGGGCCCCGGCCUCCUGCGGAGGAGGCAGCGCUGAAGAGAAGGAUGAGGGCAGUGGAAUGGAAGAAAAAGAAGAAGCAGUAGAGUUGGGUGAUUUCUUUGCGGACGGAGUCAAUUUGAGUCUCCUUGAGGGCUAUUCUGUGGAGGAUUAGCUCUUCUUCCCUCAGCCAUUGCUUGAGGAGAAGCUUGUGAGUUGGGGUCUCGGCGAUCUGGUGAAGCGGGUGAAGGGGCUUCGAUUCCAUGAUUGAAGUUGACGAGGUGUUGCUCUGAUGAUCAACCAUUGUUGAAAAUUUUUCUUGGAGAAGGCUGUGGGUAAAUAUUAUCUGCAGAUAUGAACUGAGAAAAGUGAGGGUGGCGAUUAAGCAGAGUGAGGAGUAAAGAGGAGCGGGCGAUAUUUUUGUCCAAACGGUCUACUUUUGGGUUUUGAAUUCUAACGGUCCAAAAUUACGGAUCCGCAGAAAUUGGGAGGCUUUCGGCUACAACAGACAAACAAAUCCUAUCCGUCCAUACUCUAUUGAAACGUUGAUAAAUCCUAUCUGGUAAUCGUUAGAUGGGAGGUAUAGUACGUCAGCCAAAACGAUCCAAAGAAUAUGGAGACCGGUCUUUUGAGUGGAGAAGGACAACUUGACUUUACAGUGAAGAAUGGACUUUUUUUUUUACUGUUUCCCCGCGCGCGUCCAGGUUGAUGUCACGUUAUUUGUAAAAAAAAUUCUUUACUUGUAUCAUAAACUAGAGGUACCUCGGCUGUACGUUGCACAGCCAGGGCUCUCUAAAAUAUUAGUUAAAUAUAUAGUAACAAAUAUUUUAGUACAUAAUGAAUAAAAAUAUAGAAAAAAAAGUAAGUAUAAAAACAAUUAAAAUUUGCUGUGAAAAGAAAUUUCAUAUAUAAAGUUAAUCCCAAUUUAUUGUAAUUUGGAAAAAGAAUUUUUAACCAAUAUUAUGUGUACGUAAUGAUACCAAAAAAGAAAAGAAAGCAAAUCCAUUAUGAGUGCAUUAUCGGUUUAAUAGCAGCAUAGUUUUAGUUGUAAUUAAAUAAAGAGUAGUCAUAAUAUUUCUAACAUUUUAAUAAUUAGAAAAAAUAUAGAAAGCCACAAAAACCUGUCACUAUCUUCAACAUCAAUAAAAAAAAAAUACAAACUUGCAUAUUUUUCUUUCUUUUUUGAGAGAAAGAGCGAGUCAAUCUAUCCAUUUAAAUCAUGUCUAAUAGCAUUACAAAUAGAUAAAAACAUUAUCUAACCAAAUAGUUAUAGAAUACGUAUAGCAAGUUUAAAUAAAAACAUGAAUUGCCAUAUUUGUAAAUCUACAUAUGCAAAUUCGAAUCCAACAAUUUGUUUGAUUGCAAAUAUGUCUUCUUAAUCAAAAUAGAAUUUUCUAAUAAUAUUUUGUAGAGUGACACUCUAAGCUAAAAGCCUCAAUACUAACUUCCCACCAAAUGCAUUCCUUUGAAAACUGCAAUUGUUUUAGCUAGUCAAAUCGACAAAAUAUUAUUAACUUCUUUAGCCAAAUAGUAAUGAUAUGUCCAGUUCUAUGCCUAACAAUCAUCUCAAACUCUAAUUAUAUUAUCUAUCAUUAUGGGCAAUAGAAAGGAAUACGAGUACAAAGUCAUAUAGAACCAGUUUAAGUAAAAGAUUCUGAAAUCUAAUUUUGCACUUCUUUUAUUUCCAAGCUAUCAUUUGUUAAAAUUAAAACCAUGAAAAUAAACUACCUAUUAUGGAUACAAUAGUCAUUCACAAUGUUGAAUGAAGAGAUAUAAAAUAUUGUCUUCACAUUCUAAAUUGCUAGCCCCAACAAUUAUUUUACCCGUCAUCCAUCUUAUCCAGUUUAUAAGCACUUUUCACAAUUAAUAAACUUUAUAUAAAUUAAAACAUAAUUACCUAUCCAUAAAUUAAGAGAUUCUGGUUAAUUUUUAACUUAAUAGGCAUCAUUUUUUUCUUCCUGAUCAUCGUUUACCUUGGAUUUUCAUUUAUUAGAUUUUUUUCUCCUCUACUGUAGUACUAUCACCCUAUUAUCAAAUAACAAUUUUAAUAAAUAAAAAAUUAGAAUUAGAAUGAAUCUGCAUAAUGGUGUUAUUUAUUUUAUGAGGGAAAAGUAGUUACAAUUCUUUCAUUGUUAGCCUAAAAAUUCUUCAUGUAAUCACCACCCGUCUUGUUGUCAGCCUUUUCCAAAAAUAAAAAGAUCAAAAAGUAGUUUCAGAAUAAAUAAAAUAUAAAAAACUAAAAAAAAUGUUUCUUUAGAUUUGGGGAAAAAUAUUCACAGCAUCACAUACCUAUUUUGGGCAGAAAGAAAGUCAGAUGAAGAAGAAAUAGGUGAGAAAAACAAUAAGCAAAGGUUGCUGAUCAAGACGCAAAAAAUGACAAAAAAAAAAUCAAAUAGUAUAUACCAAAAGAGACAUUAAAAGUAGAAGAUUAUGAAUCAUAAUUAUUGGAUUAUGGAAGAAAGGAAAUAUCAAAUCCAUUCUUGAUCUCCGAUAAUGAAAUCAUUCAUUUAGUUAAUUAUGGACAAAAAUGAAAGAAAAUGCAUCAACUAAUCCAAUAGAGAAAAAAUAGAAUAAAUGAUUAAUUAGGAUGAUAGGGGAAAAAAUGGAGUACAAAGUGGAAACUAAAUAACAAACCUGCAGUGUACAUGAGGAUUUGUUUAAUUAUCUUUAAUUAAAAAGGAGAAAGGAAAUAAAGUGAACAAAAGAAAAGACAAAGCAAAAUGAAGAAAAGAAAAGGAAUGGGCCAUAUGUCAAUGAGAGGGAUCCAUUUGGCAAUCAUUGGAGUUGCUAUAGUAACUCCACUUUCUUCUUAUAUAAUAGGUAGAUAUUUUUAAUUUAUUUAAUUUAUUUUUUAUUUUAUAUAUAUCACAUUAUAAAAAAAAUUAAAUUAAUAUUCUAAAAAAUAUUUCAAAUAAUUUCCUAUUCAAACACACUUUUCAUGACAAGUGAUUUCUCGUGUUUUAGAUAUUGAGAUAACAACUUGACUUUUCUUGAAUUUAAGCCCAAGAUGUAUAUGGCAAUAUUAACUGAAGUUAGUGAACAACACGAUUUCAUGAUUCCAAGGCAACACAGACAUUAAAUGAGCUGGAAUUUGAGGCGAAUCUAGGGUCCGUUUGUUUUGGGUGAAAAUGUUUUCCAGGAAAAUAUUUUCCUAAUUUCCCGUGUUUGGAUGGACAAAAGUUACUAAAAACAUUUUCCUAUGUAAAAUAUUUUCACUCAUCUUAUGGAAAACAACUUCCCUUCCAAACUUACUGAAGUUGUUUUCCGAAAUGCAUGUAUCCCGCCUGUAGCAUGUUCCAAACUUACUGAAAACAUCUUGUAGUAUGUUCUUUUUUUUUUUUAGUGUAAACAGGAGGACUCGAAUCCAAGAUCUCUUCCUUACACUCCCUCCCCGUACCACCCAACCCAACCCAACCCAACCCUCCCCCUAGUAUAUUCAAAAUAAAAAAAAAAAAUCUCAUCCUGCUCAUCCUAUGCUAGUAAUUAAUUAUGUAUAAUAAGGACAUUCUUUUCUAGAGAAACUUUCAGCAGUGAGAGUGCAAGAUAUAUGUCACAAUAAGCAUUACAUGUGAUUGAUAUUUGACACUAAAUGGCCAGCAAUUUGUUUAUUGCUUAAGGAGAUAUUUUUUUAUUCAUAUAUACAUUUCUCCAAGAUUUUUUAAAGUUAAACAAUGAGAUAAAUUUUCUUAUUUUGCAUGGGAAGAAGUAUGUAGUUAUAAUGUGUAAAAAGUAAAGAUAUAGAUAAAAGUGAAAAUAUUUCAAAAGUUAAACAAACACCAGAAAAAUGAAGUAAGAAAAUAUUUUCAAUAAGCUAACCAAACACCUGAAAAUGAUGAAAGGGAAAUGAUUUUCAUGGAAAAUUACUUCCACGGAAAAUAUUUUCCCAAGGAAAACAUUUUACUUCCAACCAAACAGACCCCUAGUGCUCUUGAAUUCCGCUAUGUCCAAUUUUCUUUACUUUUUUUUCAAACAAAUUUCUUUUAGUUUGUUCCUUACACUAUUCUAUUUCAGAUUCAAGUAAUAAUACUAAACUAGAUCUUUUUUUGUAUUUUUCCUUAGAUUAUUUUUUUGGUAAACCAUUUUUUUGGGUAGCUUCUUUUUUACAAAAAUUUAUUGGAUUACAUCAUAAACACGUUCUUUUUAUUUUUUUCAAUCAUAUUUUUAUCUCGCAUACAUCAUACUACAAAAAGUGCUAUAGUGUUUUUUUGAAAAAUUAUUCCAAAUAAUCUUCUACACAAACACAAACUUAUUAAAGAUCUUGGGCACAAAUGAAAUUGUUAUAGUAUAUAUACCAUCAGUCAAAAGAAAAGUGGUUUAUAUCUUCAACAUAUAUGAUAUUAUAAUCCAUAUUACUUAGAAAGUAGGAAUAAUUUCAGAAAAAAUUACACUUACCUGCCUUGGUAUAGUAAAAUACCUAUAAUACCCUCCACUUGGUAGACAAUUUUAAAUUUAAGACAAUAAAUUUACAAAACCCAAAAAAAA